AUUAGAUGCUGCUAAUUGGAGUAAAUAUUAAAAGCUGCUGCGAAGCAAAAUGCAAGGGAGCGCAAACAUUGGACGCAAUGGAAUUGUAUGGAUUGCAAACUAACUGGCAAAGUACAUCCACUGCAGCAAGGAGGAUUAGCCAAGUGGGCUCCGCGGCCAAUAGGGUAUGUAUUUAAGUUAG
Molecule: long non-coding RNA, 181 nt
Organism: Drosophila navojoa
Lineage: Eukaryota; Metazoa; Arthropoda; Insecta; Diptera; Drosophilidae
Source: RefSeq, a predicted model, not a curated record